This 66-nucleotide transfer RNA is filed under the name Occidozyga martensii (round-tongued floating frog). RNAcentral's name for it is "tRNA-Ser". Lineage: Eukaryota; Metazoa; Chordata; Amphibia; Anura; Dicroglossidae. The record is from RNAcentral.
GAGCCUGCCAGAUGAAAAGAAUACUGCUAAUAUUCUUUGCUACGGUUUAAUUCCGUAGCUUGCUCG